Molecule: non-coding RNA, 2269 nt
Filed under: Pongo abelii (Sumatran orangutan)
Lineage: Eukaryota; Metazoa; Chordata; Mammalia; Primates; Hominidae
Source: RNAcentral
GAGCGCCCCUUCCCGGGCAGUUCCUCUCGGCGCCCCCGAGUCCUCCCCGCGCGCCGCUUCCCGGGUGGGCCCUUCCACCAGAACCCCCUGGUAGAUCCUCCCCUAGUGCCCUGGGGUAGAGGGGAGAUCCUCCACAAGGGUUAUUUCCCGGGUGAUCCCUCCCUGUGCCCCACAGGUGAGUCCUGCCGUAGCUCUCCAGGGGUUCCUCCUGAUGCUGGGGUCCUCCAGCAUUCCUCCCUGAGCCCCCCAAGGGCCCUGAAGCACAGCGGCCCAGCCCUGGCCUCGGGGUCCUCACCCCACACCUCCCUUCCAGGCCUAACCUUUGCCCCCGACACCAGGCAGCGCGUGUCCUUGGCCUUCGCCGCACAGCCCGCGUGGCAUCUCUGGACAGGUGGCCGUGCGCGCCUUGGUGUGGGCAGGCUCCGUAGCCGGCAAAGCCUCCCUGAACUGUGACCUGGUGAGAAGGCCACAGAGGAGCUGCCUGUGCCCAGAGGCCACCUCCAAAGACCCCACCUGAGGCUGGAACCCAGCGCCUGCUGACCCCGCCAGCCCCAACAGGGCUGGAGUCCAGGAUAGGCCGUGCUCUUUCCGCAGUGAGGCAGCUACCUUCUCUCCCCACCACCUGUCAGGAUGCCUUCCUGCGGGUGUUUGUGCACAGGUCUAAGGAGAGGAGAGUCCAGUGACCCAGACGCCCCAGCCAGGAAGAGCAUGAGGACAUGGAGCGGAGCGUUCAGGGCUAUCAGGAGGGAGCCCCGUGGCCACGGUGCAAGAUCUAGGCAGGUGGGACAGACAUGGUCAGGAUGCCGGGGACAGAGCAUGGGGAAUCCAGCACACAGGACACCAUCCAGGAAAGCAAAGCUGCGGCCUGAGAUCUCCUUCCACCAACUCCUGGCAUGGCCAGAAAGUUAGCCAGAAACACCAGAAAGUGCCAGGCAGCUAGGAGGCACGGGGAGAGCCCCCCGAAGCUGCGUGUGUAGUGCCUGCUUCCGCUGCCAUCCCAGAAACGGAUGAGCUUCACCCUGAGAACCCAGCCACGCCACUGGGACACAUCCUGAUGGUGACAUGCACACUGUCCCCUGGCCCCAGCUGGGAGAGGAGCCUCCUGAAGACACCAGCCUUUGCUCCUUCUCCCUGUGGGGGUGGAGAGAACUGACUGCUGGAGUGGAGACAGUCAAGGCUGUCCUUCUGAGGGAGCACGGCACAGGGUCUGGUGUCCCAGGGAGGCAAUCUGAACUUCAAGCCAGGCCUCCCCAGUGGAGAGGAUACACCCCUCACCAUGCAGAGUGACGUUUAGUAAACUCUCAAAAGACAGCACAGAGCCCCGCUCCUCCAGCCGACCCCUACUCUGCCUCCCCACUCCAGACCAGUGAAAAAGGUGGAUUGCCCUUAAGCCAGCUCAGAGGCAAAGUCCAAAGACCUCAGGUGAGUCAAACAAUAAAAACAAAGAAUUAAGAAGAAUCCAGCUGGGUGCAGUGGCUCACGCCUGUAAUCCCAGCACUUUGGGAGGCUGAGGCAGGAGGAUCACAAGCAGGAGAUUGAGCCCAUCCUGGCUAACACGGUGAAACCCCGUCUCUACUAAAAAAUAGAAAAAAUUAGCUGGGCAUGGUGGCGGGCGCCUGUAGUCCCAGCUACUCCGAAGGCUGAGGCAGGAGAAUGGCGUGAACCCAGGAGGUGGAGCUUGCAGUGAGCCGAGAUCGUGCCACUGCAUUCCAGCCUGGGCGACAGAGCGAGACUCCGUCUCCAAAAAAAAAAAAAAAAAAAAAAAUCCAUCCACUCCAUCCACUUAGAAGCAGAGCGAAUAGACAUUCAGGAAAGAGCUUUCAUGUCAGGACAGAAGUAGUGGCAUAUCCCCGGAGGCUGAGGUGGGAGCAUUGCUGAGAGGUGGCACAUGACCACAUCCAUGUCAUUCAACAACAGAAAAACAAGUCAGCGAGGGUGUGAGGGGUUUGUGAGAAACCCAGUAUGGAAGAAAACACAACUGGGCUGAGCGUGGUGGCUCACGCCUGUAAUCCCAGCACUUUGGGAGGCCAAGGCAGGAGGAUCACCUGAGGUCAGGAGUUCGAGACCAGCCUGGUCAACAUAGUGAAACCUCAUCUCUACUAAAAAUACAAAAAAAUUAGCUGGGUGUGGUGGCGCGUGCCUGUAGUCCCAGCUAUGCAGGAGGCUGAGGCAGGAGAACUGCAUGAACCCGGGAGCCGAGACCACACCACUGCACUCCAGCCUGGGGGCGGCACAGUGAGACUCCGUCUCAAAGAAACAAAUAUAAUAA